CACCGCCCGCCGAGCUGACUCGGCGGUGCCAGCCCCGCUGUGACGCAGGCCGCGGUGUCCGGGAACUUCCUCCCCUGCAGAGGCUACCCCGCGCCCCGGACCCGCCAGCGAGGGCUGCGGCCGGCCGCUGAAGGCUUUCUUCAGGGCGAGGAAGGAAAUCCUCCCUCCGCUCGGCGACAGGGCCACUCCCACCUCUGAGACGCCCACCUGGAGGGCUCUGCGCUGGGAGUCCGCGGCGUCUAAUGCCGCCUCCACCUUCAUCCCUAACAAAGCGCGGAAAACCCGAGGCUUCUGUGCGCCCAGCGCCUGCUCGGCUGCCGCGGCUCCUCCCCUGGGAUGAAAAAGCAAACUCUGAUUCUUGGAAGCUGGCAACCCUCUGUAUGGAACAUCUGCCCAGUGAAAAAAUGUACAGACAAGAUUACUCAGCACCAUGGUGUCUUCUGGGAAUGCCUGAUCAGUGCUAGCUAUUCUAAGAGCACCAAAAGUUAAACUAUUGCUCGGUCUUGGGAGUCUGGAAAAGACAGACAGAUGUAUGGGAAUUACUGAUAGACAACUACUUAGUAGUCAUUCGCCGGUGGGUCUGUUCUUACACAGCACGCCUUCAGAAAGCAGUCACCUCCUUUCACCAUGUUUCUACUUCUAAGCCAAAAUGAAAAGAAAAUUUGUCCAAAAGUUGUCCUCUUUGGCUUUUAACCCCUUUCCCCCUGCUCACCCAGCAAAAUACUACACUUUUUCUAAUUCCAGAGGUGGUUUAGGGUGUCCUUCCCAGAAGACAACCUUAACCCUUCUUAGGCCUUAGAAGAUGACCCUAACACCAGCCUUAAUUAACUUAGAUCAAGACAAAAAUUUAUAUUGGGGCUUUCCUCCUAGAUAGCAGGUGGAAAAAUUCCUAGAGAGUCUCUGGGAAAAAGGCAAAGCCUGACUUUAGCAAUGUGCUAAAAAAUUCAAAUCUCUUGUAAGCCACCAGGUAGAUGCAGAAAUACUCUGAGGUAGCUUCAGCUCUUAAAUACCUUACCCAGAUUUAAACACUCACUGAGGAAAGUACUAAAAACACAAACCUCAUGUGAAGGGCCUUGUUCUGCAAUAGCUUUCUGAGUGCACUUCUGCCUUCCAUCCUCCUUGUACCACUGGCAUCCUGACCACAGGUUUAGGCAUCUCUGUCAAGGAACCAUUGAACCCUAGACUUUGGACUCAGGUGAACCAGGAUUAAAUCCUUGCUUAUCCUGUUUACACUUAGGGAAGUUACUGCUCCAUUUUAUUCUCCUCCCAUCAUCAAUACAUAUAGGUAUAGUACUGUGAGAUGCUGUGAGAAUCAGAAAACAUGCUUGAAGCAUGUGCUAAGCACUUUAUAAGUAUUCGAUAAAUGAUAGCUACUAUUGUCCUUACUGUUCUUCAUUGCCCUGAAAGCAAAAGAGCCAGGAACAGCAACAAAAUUUGGAAACAUGGUACAUGUAUCCCCUGCAAGUUGAGUUUCCCCCUGAGUUGCUUUAUUGCAGUACUGUGCCUGCCUUCUAACAGGGUGACCUGGACAGUUCUACAUGUGUAGGCAAGCGAUUCAUAUGCACAUUAAAGUUUUACAGGUACUAGUCUAAAAACCACUAUGCUAUACUGCUUAGUUCACUUUUUUUCUUAUUUUAUAUAGCAUUUAAACCUUAAUUCUAAGUUGUCUCACCUCAGUCAAUCUAACGCAAAUCACCAUCCACACUCUGUAAAGCACUGGGUGAAUUAUCAAUCAAAGUCACCUUGUUUGAAUGUUGGGCCCUGAGGGUCUCAAAGAAGUGUAAUGCUUAUUACCUGACUUCAAGGUACAAGAAAACUCUGGCUGGGCUGUAGCAUUCCUUCAAGGUGUAAUUCAUAAGUCACCUUCUCUGUGAAGCUGCUGGAGGUUCCAG
Microcebus murinus (gray mouse lemur) is the source of this 1892-nucleotide non-coding RNA. Lineage: Eukaryota; Metazoa; Chordata; Mammalia; Primates; Cheirogaleidae. The record is from RefSeq and is a predicted model, not a curated record.